Molecule: ribosomal RNA, 415 nt
Filed under: Vibrio parahaemolyticus
Lineage: Bacteria; Pseudomonadati; Pseudomonadota; Gammaproteobacteria; Vibrionales; Vibrionaceae
Description: bacterial SSU rRNA
Rfam family: Bacterial small subunit ribosomal RNA
Source: RNAcentral
AAAUUGAAGAGUUUGAUCAUGGCUCAGAUUGAACGCUGGCGGCAGGCCUAACACAUGCAAGUCGAGCGGAAACGAGAUAUCUGAACCUUCGGGGAACGAUAUCGGCGUCGAGCGGCGGACGGGUGAGUAAUGCCUGGGAAAUUGCCCUGAUGUGGGGGAUAACCAUUGGAAACGAUGGCUAAUACCGCAUAAUAGCUUCGGCUCAAAGAGGGGGACCUUCGGGCCUCUCGCGUCAGGAUAUGCCCAGGUGGGAUUAGCUAGUUGGUGAGGUAAUGGCUCACCAAGGCAACGAUCCCUAGCUGGUCUGAGAGGAUGAUCAGCCACACUGGAACUGAGACACGGUCCAGACUCCUACGGGAGGCAGCAGUGGGGAAUAUUGCACAAUGGGCGCAAGCCUGAUGCAGCCAUGCCGCGU